UACGGAGGGUGCAAGCAUUAAUCGGAUUUAUUGGGCGUAAAGGGCGCGUAGGCGGAAAUGCAAGUCAGAUGUGAAAUCCCGGGGCUCACCCCCGGAACAGCAUUUGAAACUGCAUUCCUUGAGGGUAGGCGGAGAAAAUGGAAUUCCACAAGUAGCGGUGAAAUGCGUAGAUAUGUGGAAGAACACCAGUGGCGAAGGCGGUUUUCUAGCUUAUUCCUGACGCUGAGGCGCGAAAGCGUGGGGAGCAAACAGG
RNAcentral lists this ribosomal RNA (253 nucleotides) under uncultured bacterium. Its description in RNAcentral is "partial 16S ribosomal RNA". It matches the Rfam family "Bacterial small subunit ribosomal RNA", at positions 524 to 776 of the family's 1533-position model. The record is from RNAcentral.